Non-coding RNA from Pelobates cultripes (western spadefoot toad), 631 nucleotides. NCBI's taxonomy places the organism in Eukaryota, Metazoa, Chordata, Amphibia, Anura, Pelobatidae. The record is from the annotation of a GenBank genome assembly.
GUAUUGACGGAUCACCGGUUGGACAACAUUCUUUUGUAUGCCGAUCGUUGAAGGGUAUUCGUUACUCUAGGCCUCCGAAAUCCAGGUAUUCAUCGUUUUGGAUGUUAACGUAGUGCUGGGCUUCUUGGAAUCGUGGCCUCUUAAUGAGGAGCUGUCACUGAAGCAAUUAUCCUGGAAACUGAUUACGCUCCUGUGUCUCCUUUCAUGCAAAAGGGUUUCGGAUGUCAGGGCUUUGGACUGGAACGCGUUAUCCUUCACCCCCGAGGGAGUGUCGUUUAACAUCUCUAGGAGGACUAAGACGUCUUCUAAGUUGGUGACCUACCCUAGGUGUUCAGUCCGACCUGCUCUGUGUCCGGUGGCUUGCCUACGGGUGUACUUGGAUCGCACUCACCAAUUGAAGUCAUUGGAUUUGUCCCAAUUGUUUAUUUCCUUUAAGAAGCAGUUUCUCCCGAUCUCCUCGACUAUGUUAGCUCGUUGGAUUAAGAAACUUCUUUCUGCUGCAGGGAUCGAUACUUCAAUAUUUUCGGCUCAUUCGGUCUGGAUGAUAUCUUGAAGGCAGCGGAUUGGUCUAGAGAAUCUACGUUCUGCGAUUUUUAUUUCCGCCCGAUUGACCAUGUUUUCUCGUUAGUUG